UACAGAGGUCUCAAGCGUUGUUCGGAUUCAUUGGGCGUAAAGGGUGCGUAGGCGGCGCCGUAAGUCAGGUGUGAAAUCUCGGGGCUCAACCCCGAAACUGCACUUGAUACUGCGGUGCUAGAGGGCUCGAGAGGAGAUUGGAAUUCACGGUGUAGCAGUGAAAUGCGUAGAUAUCGUGAGGAAGACCAGUGGCGAAGGCGGAUCUCUGGAGAGUUCCUGACGCUGAGGCACGAAGGCCAGGGGAGCAAACGGG
RNAcentral lists this ribosomal RNA (253 nucleotides) under uncultured bacterium. RNAcentral describes it as "partial 16S ribosomal RNA". It matches the Rfam family "Bacterial small subunit ribosomal RNA", at positions 524 to 776 of the family's 1533-position model. The record is from RNAcentral.